UACGGAGGGGACUAGCGUUGUUCGGAAUUACUGGGCGUAAAGCGCACGUAGGCGGAUUUGUAAGUCAGGGGUGAAAUCCCGGGGCUCAACCUCGGAACUGCCUUUGAUACUGCAAAUCUCGAGUCCGGAAGAGGUGAGUGGAAUUCCUAGUGUAGAGGUGAAAUCGUAGAUAUUAGGAAGAACACCAGUGGCGAAGGCGGCUCACUGGUCCGGUACUGACGCUGAGGAGCGAAAGCAUGGGGAGCGAACAGG
Molecule: ribosomal RNA, 252 nt
Filed under: uncultured bacterium
Lineage: Bacteria
Description: partial 16S ribosomal RNA
Rfam family: Bacterial small subunit ribosomal RNA
Source: RNAcentral